RNAcentral lists this transfer RNA (72 nucleotides) under Camelus bactrianus (Bactrian camel). It matches the Rfam family "tRNA". Rfam says of the family: Transfer RNA (tRNA) molecules are approximately 80 nucleotides in length. Their secondary structure includes four short double-helical elements and three loops (D, anti-codon, and T loops). The record is from Rfam by way of RNAcentral. RNAcentral also lists the same sequence under 2 other names. Lineage: Eukaryota; Metazoa; Chordata; Mammalia; Artiodactyla; Camelidae.
GAAUGUAUAGCUCAGUGGCAGAGCAUGUGCUUAGCACGCACAAGGUCCUGGGUUCAAUCCCUGAUCCCUCCA